Molecule: transfer RNA, 55 nt
Filed under: Centrorhynchus clitorideus
Lineage: Eukaryota; Metazoa; Acanthocephala; Palaeacanthocephala; Polymorphida; Centrorhynchidae
Description: tRNA-Ser
Source: RNAcentral
GGCGGGUGGAGAAGAGGGGGAGGGGAGAUGCACAAGGUGGGAACGAUAGCGUGAG